This 517-nucleotide ribosomal RNA is filed under the name uncultured bacterium. Its description in RNAcentral is "bacterial SSU rRNA". It matches the Rfam family "Bacterial small subunit ribosomal RNA", at positions 501 to 1017 of the family's 1533-position model. The record is from RNAcentral.
CUACGUGCCAGCAGCCGCGGUAAUACGUAGGUCCCGAGCGUUAUCCGGAUUUAUUGGGCGUAAAGCGAGCGCAGGCGGUUAGAUAAGUCUGAAGUUAAAGGCUGUGGCUUAACCAUAGUACGCUUUGGAAACUGUUUAACUUGAGUGCAGAAGGGGAGAGUGGAAUUCCAUGUGUAGCGGUGAAAUGCGUAGAUAUAUGGAGGAACACCGGUGGCGAAAGCGGCUCUCUGGUCUGUAACUGACGCUGAGGCUCGAAAGCGUGGGGAGCAAACAGGAUUAGAUACCCUGGUAGUCCACGCCGUAAACGAUGAGUGCUAGGUGUUGGGUCCUUUCCGGGACUCAGUGCCGCAGCUAACGCAUUAAGCACUCCGCCUGGGGAGUACGACCGCAAGGUUGAAACUCAAAGGAAUUGACGGGGGCCCGCACAGGCGGUGGAGCAUGUGGUUUAAUUCGAUGCAACGCGAAGAACCUUACCUACUCUUGACAUCCAUGGAAUCUUGUAGAGAUACGAGAGUGC